RNA transcript from Musa acuminata AAA Group (dessert banana), 6250 nucleotides. It is a transcript of the gene named myosin-binding protein 1, with no coding region annotated. The transcript has 6 exons. NCBI's taxonomy places the organism in Eukaryota, Viridiplantae, Streptophyta, Magnoliopsida, Zingiberales, Musaceae. The record is from RefSeq and is a predicted model, not a curated record.
GUAAACCUAUAAAUCUCUUUGCCCGUCUCCACUUUCCUCCCUUCGAACAGAUCGCAAGGCAGCCUUCUUCUACUUGUCGACUCCAAUGGCCGCCGGUCCGAUCCCUCGGAGAGCUGGGUUGGCUUUAGCCUAUCGCCUUUCGGUCGGUGCCGUGUCGUUAUCUCGCGAUCCCAGCCGACCUUUUCGUCAUUCGACGUCAGCGCCUCGGAAUAAUGUCAAUAACGGAGACUGGGAAGGAGAGUGGUGGGAGGUGAUAGCCUCACCUUUCGGUUGCUUUUGUCUUUCUCUUGCCCUAGUAGACCCGUUUCCACCGGUCGCAUCCUCUUCUCUUCGCUCGUCGGCUGCGGAAGAAGUCUGAAAAAGUGGCAACCGUCAGCUGGGAUUCACGAAGAACAACUGUAAUUUGCUCUACUCAAGUUUGCUGGCUGUUUCAUCUCUCCGCCUAUAUAGGUGCCCUGAGAAGUUGAUGUAAAACUGGCUAGGGAUGGGUUCAAGGGCUCGCAUCAGUGGUUUCAUGCGAUUCUCAUCUGCUUUGUCUUCGGCGAUUCUUGAAUGGAUAUUGAUGCUUCUAUUAUUCUUUGAUGCCUGGUUUUCCUACAUGGUGACAAAAUUCUCUCGUCUAUGCAAGUUACAAACACCUUGUAUAUUCUGUUCAAGGCUAGAUCACAUAUUUGGAAGUGAGAAACUGGACUUCUAUCUAGAUCUAAUUUGUGAAACCCACAGAUCAGAGAUCUCAUCACUGGCCUUGUGUCAUGCUCACGGGAAGCUUGCUGAUGUUCACACCAUGUGCAAAGCUUGUCUCCUCUCAUUGAAACCUGAAACUUGCAGAUCUCUGGUAGGUAAUCUUGGAAGACAUUUUGAUUAUAGAGAGAACAUUCAGUAUGUUGAUGGUGAUGGCCUCCAUGUGCGUGAUGAGGAUGAUUUGGUGAAUGUCCCUUUUCUGAAGAAGGAUGAGACAAAUUGCUCUCCUGUCAAAAUAAUUUGUUCAUGUUGUGCUGAGCCUCUCCAACAUAAACUUCAUGCCAUUAGGUUGCUUGAGGAUGAAUCCAUCGAAGUUGAUGUUUCCGAAGUUGACAUUUCUUUGUCAAGUUUAACUGGAGAUGGGAUGAGAAAGACUAGAGAAAAAACUUUGGUUUCCCCAACAUCUGACCAUUUGAGGAAUCAAGGAUUAGACGAGUUCUCUCACAUUGUACACAGUGAAGUUAAAGUUACUACUGACUCUGACUCAGAAGUCCAGCAUAUAGAUGAUGGUAAAGGAAAAUCUCUGGCUCAUGGAGCUGAAAAUGCCAAGGAUGAUUUGAUGUAUCAAAAUGUAGAACCAGAGAAUGCCACAGAUAUUGGAAGCAGUUUAUCUGGAAGUCUUUCAGAUAAUAAAACAAUAGGAAAAUUAAAUUACUCUGAUCCAGUUAGUAUUUCAGACAAUAAAGCCUUGCAAAAGUUGAUUCACUCUGCCCCAGAUAUCGACGAGCCUUCUGAAUCUGUUUCUGAGAAGCAAAAAUGUGUAGGUGAGCUCCAUGAUGUAUCAGAAAUUUCAUCUUCUGGUGCUGUUGGACAUAUUCCGAAAGAUAGCAAUUUGAACCAAAUCGAAAUCAAUGCUAAGCCCCCUCAAACUAAAUUUGUGUCAAAAGAUCCCCAAGAAGUUCCUGUGGAGGACUCAAAUGUAAAAGAUAAGUUGGAGCAAAGUGAUGCUGCAUGUGUCAAUACUACUUAUGUGGAUGAUGUGAAGGAUUGGUGUGCAAAGGACAUCGAUUUGGGGAUAAGCCAUGAUGCAAGUGACCCUGGUCAAUCUAUGAGUAAUCAUAUGGAUCUGAAUGAUGCGUAUAAGCUUGCUGUUGGUGCUAAGGGAAGCUUGCCAUCUCCUAGAUUUGCUGAUGUUAUUAUGGGAAAGGAUUCUUCUAGGGUUCAGGAAGAUCUGAAACUGCUAAUUUCUCAAAUAUCUGCAUCUCGGGGCCUUGAGUCUCCAUGGCAUGAAAUGACUCCUAGUCCUCGAGUAUAUGGACAAGAUGACGAAUCUGUUUUGCAGAACAUAACCAAGACACUCUCUCUUGAGAGGAACGAAUCAGGCUUAGAGUCACUAGAUGGAAGUUUUGUUAGUGAGGUGGAAGGGGAAAGUGCAUUUGAGAGACUAAAGAGGCAGGUUGAGUUGGACAGGAAGUCCAUAAGCCUUCUCUACAAGGAAUUAGAAGAAGAAAGAAGUGCUUCAGCAAUUGCGGCAAAUCAAGCAAUGGCCAUGAUUACUAGGUUGCAAGAGGAGAAGGCUGCUAUGCAAAUGGAGGCUCUGCAUUACCAAAGAAUGAUGGAAGAGCAAGCUGAAUAUGACCAUGAAGCACUUCAGAAUUGCAAUGAGUUGCUUACUCAAAGAGAGAAAGAAAUGCAAGAUUUGGAAGCUGAGAUGGAAAUCUAUAGGAAAAGCUUUACAGAUAAAUUAUCCAAUGAUCAAGCAGUGGAACUGAAUGGUAAUUUCCAUGAUAAGGAGCUUGAAUCAUGUAACAAAUCUAGGGAAAAUCAUGUAAUGCAUCAAGAUUCCAGAUGGAGUAACUUUGAUGGUUUGAAGAAUCCCUUAUCAUGUUUUGAAGAUGAGGAGGCGUAUCUAUCAAAUUGUUUGGUGAAGUUGGAGAAAAAGCUUCAUCUUUUUUCCAAUCAUGGUGUUUUUGAUGAUGGUUCUAGUUUAUUAGUGAAUGAUGAUGAAAAUGGAUUUCCCGAAAACACAUGUACAGAUAUUCAAGGUGAAGAUUUUAUACAAAGAAACAGAGUGUCAGAAGGUGGUGUGGGCACAAAUGGUUGGUACUCUGACAAGAUUGCAUCUGCAGGUCCAGAGCACCUGUAUCAGAAAGAUGGUCCCCUUGAAAAUAGUCAGGUAGGAGGGAUUUUAAUGGGUGAAAAGUUAUCCAGGAAACCUUCAAGUUCCUUUCAAGGAAACCAUGAAGACAGCUUUGACAUUGACAAGUACUUGAAAGUAGUUAACAAGAGUGACUUAGUUGCUCUUGAGGAUGAAGUGUCAUGUUUAAGUCAGAGGUUGGAGGCACUUGAGGCAGAUCGUAAUUUUCUUGAACAUGCUAUCAACUCACUUAGAAAUGGUGAUGCUGGUGUUCGGUUUCUUCAACAGAUAGCUUGUGAUCUGCAUGAAUUACGGAAAAUUGGAAUCACUCGACAAGAGCAUCAUAUAGCUUGAGUCUUUACAAGUUCUAUCUGUAAUGUAUAUGUAGAAAUUAUUAUAAUUUAGGAGGUGUCUCUUCAAGAGGUUAACGAUAAUGAAUGAUCAUUGUGAGUGAGCAUGAUACUUCCAAGAUCAAAGCAAUAUAUAUUUCAAGGUGACAAAUAUUCUGAAUUCAAAGUUUGUUAGCUUAAUAGUUGGGACUUAUGGCUUUGUUUUUGUAAAGUUUGUUGGCUUUUAUGGUUAUUCAUUUAUGAUGAAUUAACUAAAUUCAGCCAUGAACAGUACAAUCUGAAGACUCCUAUCUUGAACUUGUUCUUUGGAAAGAUACAGUUGUAGAUGAUUGCUAUGCUAUUAUAAUCUUCUGGAUAUUAAUCAACCGUACGGUUGAUGUUCUGUACAUUUAGUUGUUUCGUUUUUCACAUUUUAUCAUGUGUCCAACAUAAAAUUCCCUUUGGAUUUAGCACCUUGGGAAUUUAAAUUUGAAGUACCACAUAUUCACUGAACAACAGAAGUUGGCAUAAAUCCAAACAAUCCCAUCUUGGGUUCUGGUAUAAGCAAAACUUAGAUACAUGUAAUAGUAAAACCUGAAAAAAGUAACAGAUAGCAUCUCUUAGUAAUAAGUAUAUGCACAAUCAUAUUGUGAGGUCAUUAGGACAUGUAACAUGAUCUAGCCCCAUGAUUGGAAUUUGAAAUAUGAUUUUUUGUCUUCAAUGAAGCAUAGAGUAAUGAGACAAAUAGAAGAAGAUAUUGGCUUAUGCCACAUCCCAUAGGAUGUGUGGUUGAUACAACAUGAUAUGUGGAAAAUGGUGAAAUGGUUGUCUUUGGUUGUGAUUUGCAUAAUUGAUGUGGUUAUUUUUUUAAUCUUUGAGCAUGAUACUCACCUUAGGAGUCUCUUCCAAUUCAUUUUGAUUGGCCAUGAUUGCUAAUAGGUUCAUCUUUUGCUUGGUAUGUUGUUGUCCUCCUACUAUUAUUUUUUCUUUCAUUUCUCUAUCUUUAAAGAGUGUUGUUAAUAUUUUUGAUCAAGAUUAUGCAUGAUCAUGCUAUACCUCUAAGGGCUAUCCAUACCAAAUUGUUGCUCAUGAAUAUGACAACAUCGAUCAUAGAAUCAGCUGAUGUAGGAUGCAUAAAAUUAUGACACUGAUCCAGUUUUUAGGAAAUUAUUGGUCUCAUGGAGUGAAGUCCAACAGUUUAAUUUAAGGCUGCAAUGGUCGUUCUUAUUUGGAAAAUCUGAUUCAGUAAUUAGUUGGAACUUUUAGUUGGACCUAAAUUAUUGUUUCAUUGAAGAUCUGAUUCUUAAAAGAAUAUAGGUAGAUGAAGCUAACUCUUGAAGUUAUGAAUGAGGAUUUUGGUUAUGUUGACAAAAAUACUGAAAAUAAAGCUGGCCUCCUGUUAAAAUAGUUUAUUGAAAGAAUAUGAAGAUAAUUGAGAUGAGGCAGCCACUGUUUAAUAAAUUUGAUGAAUGAUUUUGUAUUACAUAAACUAUUAUUUUUUGUUAAAGAAAGAGUACAAUGUUUAUUUGGAACUAUCAAGUAAUUUUGGUCUAAAACCCUAGGCUGAUGAAUCAUUUUUCUUCUUAUGAGAUUGCUGCAAUUGAAUAAAGCAGCAAGUGGAUAUUGCAGUAUAUGCUAAGAGAAUAAUGACACUCUCGUAACUCGUAAGGGCCUUGAAUGGCAGGUCUUUAAGGGAUUGUUGAUUUUUAUGUCAAUCAAAUCCCACUUCAAUACCAAACUAGUUGGUAUCUUAUCCUGAUAACUGAAAGAAUACCACAUUAAUGAUGUCCAUAUAAAGCACUUCAAUUUGAAGACUUGUGACGCAUAGUGAACUCAUAAAUUUAUAUGAUCAUUAUCAGAAGACAUAAUGUAGGAGUCAAAUUAGCACAAAAGAUAAUGAAGUGAUUUUUUUUGUUCUUAAUCAACACAUUCUGGAUAUUUAAAGCUAACAAUUUACUUAAAUUGGAUGUUGCAAACAAGAAUUAAGGGCAUCAGGGAAGAUUCUGUCCAACUGGUCUUAUUAGCCAGUCCAACUCAUGUGCAAGAUUAUCAAACUGAAAUCAAAUAAGCUCUUGGUUAAUCAGCAUAACUUUUAUGUUUUAACUAAUAAUGCAUGCCUGCCUUUUGCUCAUGCAAUUAUUUUCCUUGCUACUGAACUUCUCAUAGGCCAUACACAACCAUGCAUUCAGUGGCAACCUAAUCAGUUGUUAGUAUGCUCUGUCAGUAUGUAUCAUGUCUAAUGCCACUAGUGUUAUCGCAUGAUUUAAUAUCAAUUUUUUUGGUGGCCAAGUACAUAUCCUUAAUAUACUGGUACCACUAUGUUGUCAUAAGUCAACCCCAUAUUGGUGGAACAAACCUGUAAACUUUUGCAAUUAUGAUGUUUUUAGGACAUAUGAGGGCAUAUCUCAGCUGAAAAACAUUGCUUAAAUUGGACAUGAAACACCAGAAUUUUCUUGAUUCUCUUCAUGAUUAUGAAUGACUAGGAAACUUAUUUGCACCAUGUGGGGACCAAUAAUUACUCUGGGAACUUGGCACAAUAAACCUGACCAGACAUUGAUUUCUAUCGUAGCUCGUUGUUUCCUAAAAUAAUAUGCAACUUGAUGCGCUAAAGAUCUGGAUGAUGAAGGUUCAUAAUUUACGUUCAGGACAGAGGCUCAUAUAGUCUGAGCACCCACAACUGUAUACUAUAUUCAGUAGUUGGAAAUGUGGCUGAUGGGUCUUCAGAGGCUGCUUCAUUUUUACCUUGUGUGUUUUACUUUUCUUUUCUUUAUAGAAUUGCUUGGUUUUGUAUUUUCUUAUCAUUAUCAUUUUUUCUAUAUUAACUUGAUUUCAUUCAGAAUUAGUAUUUUUUAUCUUUUUCUUUCUUAAAAAUGAGUGGUAAAUUUGUAAUAGGGUGAUUACUGUGUGAUAGCAAUGACCUGUGCAUUGUAAAACAUCUUCUGCAUGCUCACAUCUGCUGAGUUGUUCAAUAAUCUGGGGACUUGUAGUUUUUGCCAUCAAGAGUCUCAGCAAUGAGAGUAACAGUAUCAUUAUAUUCUUCUCUGUAAUAUAACUUAAAAAUCCUUAUUGAAAGUUCUGUUAUAAUUUCUAGUUUUUAUACCAA